CAGCAGCCGCGGUAAUACGAGGGGGGCAAGCGUUGUUCGGAAUUACUGGGCGUAAAGGGCGCGUAGGCGGUGUACUAAGUUAGGCGUGAAAGCCCUGGGCUCAACCCGGGAAUUGCGCUUGAUACUGGUACGCUUGAAUCCAGGAGAGGUUGGUGGAAUUCCCAGUGUAGAGGUGAAAUUCGUAGAGAUUGGGAAGAACACCGGUGGCGAAGGCGGCCAACUGGACUGGUAUUGACGCUGAGGCGUGAAAGCGUGGGGAGCAAACAGGAUUAGAUACCCGCGUAGUCCCUGUCUCUUAUAA
Molecule: ribosomal RNA, 301 nt
Filed under: uncultured bacterium
Lineage: Bacteria
Description: partial 16S ribosomal RNA
Rfam family: Bacterial small subunit ribosomal RNA
Source: RNAcentral